RNAcentral lists this ribosomal RNA (261 nucleotides) under uncultured bacterium. RNAcentral describes it as "partial 16S ribosomal RNA". The record is from RNAcentral.
CUGCUGCCUUCCGUAGGAGUUUGGUCCGUGUCUCAGUACCAAUGUGGGGGACCUUCCUCUCAGAACCCCUAUCCAUCGUCGGUUUGGUGGGCCGUUACCCCGCCAACUGCCUAAUGGAACGCAUGCCUAUCUAUCAGCGAUGAAUCUUUAGCAAAUAUCCCCAUGCGGGGCCCCUGCUUCAUGCGGUAUUAGUCCGACUUUCGCCGGGUUAUCCCCCUCCUGAUAGGCAAGUUGCAUACGCGUUACUCACCCGUGCGCCGG